UACGUAGGCAGCAAGCGUUGUUCGGAGUUACUGGGCGUAAAGGGUGCGUAGGCGGUUGUUUAAGUUUGGUGUGAAAUCUCCCCGGCUCAACUGGGAGGGUGCGCCGAAUACUGAAUGACUCGAGUGCGGGAGAGGAGAGUGGAAUUCCUGGUGUAGCGGUGAAAUGCGUAGAUAUCAGGAGGAACACCGGUGGUGUAGACGGCUCUCUGGACCGUAACUGACGCUGAGGCACGAAAGCGUGGGUAGCAAACAGG
Molecule: ribosomal RNA, 254 nt
Filed under: uncultured bacterium
Lineage: Bacteria
Description: partial 16S ribosomal RNA
Rfam family: Bacterial small subunit ribosomal RNA
Source: RNAcentral